AGCGAACGCUGGCGGCAGGCCUAACACAUGCAAGUCGAACGAACCUUUCGGGGUUAGUGGCGGACGGGUGAGUAACACGUGGGAACGUGCCUUUAGGUUCGGAAUAACUCAGGGAAACUUGUGCUAAUACCGAAUGUGCCCUUCGGGGGAAAGAUUUAUCGCCUUUAGAGCGGCCCGCGUCUGAUUAGCUAGUUGGUUGAGGGAAUGGCUCACCAAGGCGACGAUCAGUAGCUGGUCUGAGAGGAUGAACAGCCAAAUUGGGACCGAGACACGGCCCAAACUCACAGGUGUGGAGGUAGUGGCAAAUAUUCAGAAAUGAGCAAACGCCAGACGCCGUCAUGCCGCGUGAAUAAUGAUGAUCUAAUGAUUAUACCAUUGUUCCCCCGUGGAGAAAAAUGACCAAACCAGUAGCAGACCCCCCUGCUACUUCAGCGCCACAAGCCGAGGUAUUCCAGGAACAUCACCCGGCAGACC
RNAcentral lists this ribosomal RNA (474 nucleotides) under uncultured bacterium. RNAcentral describes it as "partial 16S ribosomal RNA". It matches the Rfam family "Bacterial small subunit ribosomal RNA", at positions 37 to 537 of the family's 1533-position model. The record is from RNAcentral.